UAGGGAAUCUUCGGCAAUGGGGGGAACCCUGACCGAGCAACGCCGCGUGAGUGAAGAAGGUUUUCGUAUCGUAAAGCUCUGUUGUUAAGGAAGAACGAGUGUGAGAAUGGAAAGUUCAUGCUGUGACGGUACUUAACCAGAAAGGGACGGCUAACUACGUGCCAGCAGCCGCGGUAAUACGUAGGUCCCGAGCGUUGUCCGGAUUUAUUGGGCGUAAAGCGAGCGCAGGCGGUCAAUUAAGUCUGAUGUGAAAGCCCCCGGCUCAACCGGGGAGGGUCAUUGGAAACUGGUUGACUUGAGUGCAGAAGAGGAGAGUGGAAUUCCAUGUGUAGCGGUGAAAUGCGUAGAUAUAUGGAGGAACACCAGUGGCGAAGGCGACUCUCUGGUCUGUAACUGACGCUGAGGUUCGAAAGCGUGGGUAGCAAACAGG
Molecule: ribosomal RNA, 430 nt
Filed under: Bacteroidota bacterium
Lineage: Bacteria; Pseudomonadati; Bacteroidota
Description: Bacteroidetes bacterium partial 16S ribosomal RNA
Rfam family: Bacterial small subunit ribosomal RNA
Source: RNAcentral